AAUGACGUCUCUAGAAGACAUCUGAAAGAGAUUUAAAGAUUUAUCGGUGAUGGAUGGGGAUGCGUCUGAUUAGCUUGUUUGGCGGGGUUAACGGCCCACCAAGGCGACGAUCAGUAGGGGUUCUGAGAGGAAGGUCCCCCACAUUGGAACUGAGACACGGUCCAAACUCCUACGGGAGGCAGCAGUGAGGAAUAUUGGUCAAUGGACGAGAGUCUGAACCAGCCAAGUAGCGUGCAGGAAGACGGCCCUAUGGGUUGUAAACUGCUUUUAUAAGGGAAUAAAGUGAAUCUCGUGAGACUUUUUGCAUGUACCUUAUGAAUAAGGACCGGCUAAUUCCGUG
RNAcentral lists this ribosomal RNA (340 nucleotides) under uncultured bacterium. Its description in RNAcentral is "bacterial SSU rRNA". It matches the Rfam family "Bacterial small subunit ribosomal RNA", at positions 172 to 507 of the family's 1533-position model. The record is from RNAcentral.